UGUUAUUCGCUCCUGUUGAUGAAAAGUUAACAGUAUAAUGAUGAUUUAAACAACAACUUUAAAAACAAUUUGUCAUGUUUGCGGCUGUUACUUUUAACAAGCGGUAGGUAGCGCUGCGCUUCUUCCUUUUUUUUUUUCCCGCGCCCCAUGGAGAAAAAAAAAAAUGGCUCGACACUUUUGUGUUUCUUCACGCAGCAACGUGAUCGGCGUGUUUUCGAUGAUCUCGACGCUCAGCAAGAUCCAUUGUGCAGUGUUAAGUUCAGAAAUGUUUUCCUCAUCGUAUGCAGCAGUGAAUUCUCUUGUGCGCUUCGUCGUUUCCGCCCGCUGGAUAUCGACGAUUUUGACAAAGAACUCUACGAAGUCUUGCGGGCUGGCGAGGAAAACGGCAGCACCCACUUACUGCACAUGAGCCAAACUGAGGAAGGGAUGGAGGAGGCGUGAGUCGAACAACCGACGUGUGCAGCGGAAACUCGGCGAUGCUCAACUGGGACCGGGAUCACGAAAAAACACCUUUACCUCGAGGCGAAAAAGUGUCCCCUGCAGGACCUCCAGAAGAAACACCAGUCCCCGUAACGGUACCUUGCACAAGAAUGUGCCAACCUGCACUAUUAAUCCAGCUAGGUUUUCAUGGACAUUUUCAUUAAUUUUAUUGCCCUUGAAGUUAUUAAAGUGCUAAUUUGUUUUAAAAAUGAGUACGUGUCAACUUCACUUAAGAGGUUCCAUGUAAAUGUGCAUGGGAAAGUGUGCAGAUGUGUGCAUUUUUAAAAUCCAGUUGCUACCCUCAGCACUGCAUAGAUAAACUUAUUGCUAGUGAAGCUGCAAGAAAUUUCUUUUCAUUUGUUUUGCUCUAUUACGUCCAAAUACAGUACUUAGAACAUCUUUUUUUUUUUAGUU
This is a long non-coding RNA of Rhipicephalus sanguineus (brown dog tick), 894 nucleotides long. RefSeq lists it as uncharacterized. The record is from RefSeq and is a predicted model, not a curated record. The transcript has 3 exons. Lineage: Eukaryota; Metazoa; Arthropoda; Arachnida; Ixodida; Ixodidae.